UCGUCAGUGAGGUAUAUCCUUACCUGUUACUCCAGCAAUGGAGUUGCAGAGCAUGAUGAAUGGAGAUAUAUGAGAUAUGAUUAAUAUCUCUGUUUUGUGGAGCCUGAAACACUUCACAAAACCCAUUCUGAU
Thalassophryne amazonica is the source of this 132-nucleotide small nucleolar RNA. RefSeq annotates it as U8 small nucleolar RNA. The record is from RefSeq and is a predicted model, not a curated record. Lineage: Eukaryota; Metazoa; Chordata; Actinopteri; Batrachoidiformes; Batrachoididae. The transcript has a single exon.